UGCAAGUCGAGCGGUAAGGCCCUUCGGGGUACACGAGCGGCGAACGGGUGAGUAACACGUGGGUGAUCUGCCCUGUACUUCGGGAUAAGCCUGGGAAACUGGGGCUAAUACCGGAUAUGACCUUACAUCGCAUGGUGUUUGGUGGAAAGAUUUAUCGGUACAGGAUGGGCACGCGGCCUAUCAGCUUGUUGGUGGGGUAAUGGCCUACCAAGGCGACGACGGGUAGCCGGCCUGAGAGGGCGACCGGCCACACUGGGACUGAGACACGGCCCAGACUCCUACGGGAGGCAGCAGUGGGGAAUAUUGCACAAUGGGCGAAAGCCUGAUGCAGCGACGCCGCGUGAGGGAUGACGGCCUUCGGGUUGUAAACCUCUUUCGACAGGGACGAAGCGCAAGUGACGGUACCUGUAGAAGAAGCACCGGCCAACUACGUGCCAGCAGCCGCGGUAAUACGUAGGGUGCGAGCGUUGUCCGGAAUUAUUGGGCGUAAAGAGAUUGUAGGCGGUUUGUCGCGUCGUCCGUGAAAACUUGGGGCUCAACCCCAAGCUUGCGGGCGAUACGGGCAGACUUGAGUACUGCAGGGGAGACUGGAAUUCCUGGUGUAGCGGUGAAAUGCGCAGAUAUCAGGAGGAACACCGGUGGCGAAGGCGGGUCUCUGGGCAGUAACUGACGCUGAGAAGCGAAAGCGUGGGUAGCGAACAGGAUUAGAUACCCUGGUAGUCCACGCCGUAAACGGUGGGCGCUAGGUGUGGGUUUCCUUCCACGGGAUCGUGCCGUAGCUAACGCAUUAAGCGCCCCGCGUGGGGAGUACGGCCGCAAGACUAGA
Molecule: ribosomal RNA, 826 nt
Filed under: Nocardia farcinica
Lineage: Bacteria; Bacillati; Actinomycetota; Actinomycetes; Mycobacteriales; Nocardiaceae
Description: bacterial SSU rRNA
Rfam family: Bacterial small subunit ribosomal RNA
Source: RNAcentral